RNAcentral lists this ribosomal RNA (253 nucleotides) under uncultured bacterium. Its description in RNAcentral is "partial 16S ribosomal RNA". It matches the Rfam family "Bacterial small subunit ribosomal RNA", at positions 524 to 776 of the family's 1533-position model. The record is from RNAcentral.
UACGGGGGGGGCAAGCGUUGUUCGGAAUUACUGGGCGUAAAGAGCGUGUAGGCGGCCAGAUAAGUCCGCUGUGAAAUCUCGAGGCUCAACUUCGAGCUGUCGGUGGAAACUGUCUGGCUAGAGUCCGGAAGAGGAGAAUGGAAUUCCUGGUGUAGCGGUGAAAUGCGCAGAUAUCAGGAAGAACACCCGUGGCGAAGGCGGUUCUCUGGGACGGUACUGACGCUGAGACGCGAAAGCGUGGGGAGCGAACAGG